This 253-nucleotide ribosomal RNA is filed under the name uncultured bacterium. RNAcentral describes it as "partial 16S ribosomal RNA". It matches the Rfam family "Bacterial small subunit ribosomal RNA", at positions 524 to 776 of the family's 1533-position model. The record is from RNAcentral.
UACGAAGGGGGCUAGCGUUGCUCGGAAUCACUGGGCGUAAAGGGUGCGUAGGCGGGUCUUUAAGUCAGAGGUGAAAUCCUGGAGCUCAACUCCAGAACUGCCUUUGAUACUGAGGAUCUUGAGUACGGGAGAGGUGAGUGGAACUGCGAGUGUAGAGGUGAAAUUCGUAGAUAUUCGCAAGAACACCAGUGGCGAAGGCGGCUCACUGGCCCGUUACUGACGCUGAGGCGCGAAAGCGUGGGGAGCGAACCGG